This 180-nucleotide ribosomal RNA is filed under the name uncultured bacterium. Its description in RNAcentral is "partial 16S ribosomal RNA". It matches the Rfam family "Bacterial small subunit ribosomal RNA", at positions 1321 to 1500 of the family's 1533-position model. The record is from RNAcentral.
UGAAGCUGGAAUCGCUAGUAAUCGCGGAUCAGAAUGCCGCGGUGAAUACGUUCCCGGGUCUUGUACACACCGCCCGUCACACCAUGGGAGUCGGAAAUGCCCGAAGUCUGUGACCCAACCGAAAGGAGGGAGCAGCCGAAGGCAGGUCGGAUGACUGGGGUGAAGUCGUAACAAGGUACC